RNAcentral lists this ribosomal RNA (477 nucleotides) under Veillonella parvula. Its description in RNAcentral is "bacterial SSU rRNA". It matches the Rfam family "Bacterial small subunit ribosomal RNA", at positions 28 to 474 of the family's 1533-position model. Lineage: Bacteria; Bacillati; Bacillota; Negativicutes; Veillonellales; Veillonellaceae. The record is from RNAcentral.
GACGAACGCUGGCGGCGUGCUUAACACAUGCAAGUCGAACGAAGAGCGACGGAAGCUUGCUUCUAUCAAUCUUAGUGGCGAACGGGUGAGUAACGCGUAAUCAACCUGCCCUUCAGAGGGGGACAACAGUUGGAAACGACUACUAAUACCGCAUACGAUCUAACCUCGGCAUCGAGGAUAGAUGAAAGGUGGCCUCUACAUGUAAGCUAUCACUGAAGGAGGGGAUUGCGUCUGAUUAGCUAGUUGGAGGGGUAACGGCCCGCCAAGGCGAUGAUCAGUAGCCGGUCUGAGAGGAUGAACGGCCACAUUGGGACUGAGACACGGCCCAGACUCCUACGGGAGGCAGCAGUGGGGAAUCUUCCGCAAUGGACGAAAGUCUGACGGAGCAACGCCGCGUGAGUGAUGACGGCCUUCGGGGUGUAAAGCUCUGUUAAUCGGGACGAAAGGCCUUCUUGCGAAUAGUGAGAAGGAUGGACG